AUUAUCGGAGAGUUUGAUCCUGGCUCAGGACGAACGCUGGCGGCGUGCCUAAUACAUGCAAGUCGAGCGGACAGAUGGGAGCUUGCUCCCUGAUGUUAGCGGCGGACGGGUGAGUAACACGUGGGUAAC
RNAcentral lists this ribosomal RNA (129 nucleotides) under Bacillus amyloliquefaciens. Its description in RNAcentral is "partial 16S ribosomal RNA". It matches the Rfam family "Bacterial small subunit ribosomal RNA", at positions 1 to 125 of the family's 1533-position model. The record is from RNAcentral. Lineage: Bacteria; Bacillati; Bacillota; Bacilli; Caryophanales; Bacillaceae.